Molecule: ribosomal RNA, 253 nt
Filed under: uncultured bacterium
Lineage: Bacteria
Description: partial 16S ribosomal RNA
Rfam family: Bacterial small subunit ribosomal RNA
Source: RNAcentral
UACGUAGGGUGCGAGCGUUGUCCGGAAUUAUUGGGCGUAAAGAGCUCGUAGGCGGUGUGUCACGUCGGCCGUGAAAACCUGCAGCUUAACUUGGGAAUGGCAUUGGAAACUGGCGGGCUGGAGUGCGGCAGAGGGGGGUGGAAUUCCACGUGUAGCAGUGAAAUGCGUAGAGAUGUGGAGGAACACCGAUGGCGAAGGCAGCCCCCUGGGCCGACACUGACGCUCAGGCACGAAAGCGUGGGGAGCAAACAGG